AUCCUGGCUCAGAGCGAACGUUAGCGGCGGGCCUAACACAUGCAAGUCGAACGCGAAAGGUCUUCGGACUGAGUAGAGUGGCGCACGGGUGAGUAACACGUAGGUAAUCUACCCUUUGGCGGGGGAUAACGUUCCGAAAGGAGCGCUAAUACCGCAUAAGACCACGGAGUCUCCGGACGCUGUGGGAAAAGGUGGCCUCUUCUUGAAAGCUACCACCGAAGGAUGAGCCUGCGUCCCAUCAGCUAGUUGGUAAGGUAAUGGCUUACCAAGGCGAAGACGGGUAGCUGGUUUGAGAGAAUGAUCAGCCACACUGGCACUGGAACACGGGCCAGACUCCUACGGGAGGCAGCAGUGAGGAAUAUUGGGCAAUGGGCGAAAGCCUGACCCAGCCACGCCGCGUGAGUGAUGAAGGCCCUCGGGUCGUAAAGCUCUGUGGAGAGGGACGAAAACCCUGGUUCAAUAGGCUCCAGGCUUGACGGUACCUCUUUAGCAAGCACCGGCUAACUCUGUG
Molecule: ribosomal RNA, 511 nt
Filed under: uncultured bacterium
Lineage: Bacteria
Description: bacterial SSU rRNA
Rfam family: Bacterial small subunit ribosomal RNA
Source: RNAcentral